RNAcentral lists this long non-coding RNA (2411 nucleotides) under Triticum aestivum (bread wheat). Its description in RNAcentral is "long non-coding RNA (TAES_LNC004787)". Lineage: Eukaryota; Viridiplantae; Streptophyta; Magnoliopsida; Poales; Poaceae. The record is from RNAcentral.
CAUUGGCAGAGUGGACUAUGUCCACUACUCGCACCCUCGCACUCAGCAACAUUACACCAGCUUUAGCUACGAGAUGAGCACACGUAUUUGCUAAUCUGCAUCAAACAACUCCACCUGAAUAUUACUCGUACACAUCUCCCUAAUUUCCUGAACAGAAGGGCCAACAUGAUAUCUAUUUAACCCAUUACACUAAUUGUUUACUACCUCCGCAUAGUCAUGCUCGAUAAUUACAUUGUUCAACCCUUGAUUCAAUACUCUGAAGACAAAUACACCAAAAAUAUAAUUUUUACACACCAUGAUAGCCUCAUAUCCAUCCCCACACACAUCACACUAACAUCAGACCCAAACAUAAGAGAGAGGAGAUGAGACAGCGAGGCCAACACAUGGGAUGUUGCUGCACCAAUAUGCCGAGGGUCACGGCUGCCAGCAGGGGCAGGAGGGCAGGGGUGCUGCUGUGGCCUCAAGGCGAUGCAGAUGCGGAUGGGUACGUCAUGGGCUUGUGGUAGACCGACGAUGGCAGCCGACACAGGCAGUUGCCGGGUGGAUGUGGGUGGCGUGGACAUCUACAGGAGCACAACGGGCAAAGAUCAGAGGCGAUGUCAAUCUGUGUGUAUCAUGAAAGUCUGCAUAAUAUAAUUUGACAAUAGAAAAGGAACACACAAAGAUUAUACCAACAAUCUUAUCCAACUUAUAAACAAAGAUCUUGAUUCUACUUCCUAUAACAUAGGGAGCGCAGAAAUUGUAAUUUUGAUCCCAGUUUUACAUUUUAAUUUAGGGGCUCAGACAUCCAAGCUCUAGAUCAGUACAUAUCCAAGCUCUAGAGUAAAUCAUACAAUUAAGUUUUGCACGGGAAUUUUGGGCCGCGUGCAGCAUAACCCAAACAGACACAAUAUAUGAUUGCAGUUAAACUUAUCAAUGAAUUUCAGUUGCAUAUCUUUGAGUCGCUGACUAAUAGUGUGCCAUUAUUCUUAGAUAAAUUACCAUUUUGCCUCCAUGAACGGAAACAUCAUCAAGCAAAACACAAGACACAAUGACAAUUCCUAUUUAUGAAAGAAGAAAGAAUGGCACAAAAGCUGAAACAACAAACUUGGUCUCAUACUAUGGAUAUUACAAAAAAAUUGUUUCAAUUAUUAAAUACCAAGACACAAAUUAGAAUUAGAUGACUUUGCAAACCUGGAUACAUCUAGAAAGGAUAACUAAAAUUUACAAACGCUAUAGUCGAUCUGAAUAACAUACAUGUUCCCAAUGGUCUCCCAUCAAAAUUAGCUAAUUUGGUCGGCGUUUGCUGAAUUUCUUGCGUGGCCAUCCAAAUCACCCUCUUUUCCAUUACUUUCCUUUGUACCACCAACUCAAAAUUCCCCUUUUGCUAUAAUUACCACGCAUUCUUACAAACAAAUGUGUUAAUGGGACGCCCAAGGGUCAGGUCCAAUGAAAGAGAUAGUGUAUGUACCUUGAGUGAGUAAGUUUCUGUUGAAGGUCAUCAAUCUCUGCUUUCAACAUGCUUAAAUCUCAAAUGUUGUUUAUCUUAUCUCUCCCCACUCAGCUCCUGCUUGAGUGAAGCAGCCUUUGCACAAAAUUCUUUCCUGACAGCAAGGAGCUUCUUGAUUUCACCAGAGAUGCACAACCUCAUCUAAAAUGUUUUCAAUCACUGAAACCUAUCUACCCAAAUAUGAAUCUUUCAGACUUGAAUCAGACAGGGACAAACGGGAACUUGUUGAUGAGCUUAUUUGUUCAUGGAGAUGAACAAGAAGCAAACAUGGAGAAUAAAGGCAUGAGCCUGUGUAAUUCCUUUGUCAGUCUGCUCCACGCCUCCACAUUGGUCAGAUCUUGUACUCUAUAUGGACACUACAAUAUUUCUGAAACUUAAGAGUGCACAGAUUAGGCCCUUCACGGCUCCCACUUAAAGUGAACAUCUUUACAUCAUGAAGCAUCAUUCUUGAACAGUAAGAAGUUCCAAUUGGAUCAAACUAACAACACAUAAAUACAAAUCACAUAAUUACUAACUAUCAUAAAUCCAGCCCAGAUUCUCAAGCAAUAGUACAAUAGCAAAAGUACACACUGAGAAUUACAACAGCAAGGUCAUCGUUCAUGAUCUGAUUAUACAAAAUCUAGUACUCAUCUUAUAGGAUGGGGUACCUCUCAGAUGGAUGACUCGCGGAUGGCGUUCAAAUCCUACUUUCCUUUCUAAAAAAAUAGUAACAUCUUCUCUGAUCUAGAGAGAAGAGAUAACAAAUAGUCAGUUCAAUUUGGAAGAAUUUAGAACAUACAAAUCAUCUUCUAUCUACUGUAAUAGGAAGUACUAAGUAGCAGCAAAACUUCCAUCAGCACACACGCAACACAUAGACACACACGUGUGGCAGCGGCAAGCAAACACAGACACACAGGGUAAGCACAAAGCAACACGCUGUCAC